ACUCAAAGGAAUUGACGGGGGCCCGCACAAGCGGUGGAGCAUGUGGUUCAAUUCGACGCAACGCGAAGAACCUUACCUGGGCUCGAAAUGGAGUGGAAUGAGGUAGAAAUAUCUCCGUCUCGCAAGAGACCGCUUUAUAGGUGCUGCAUGGCUGUCGUCAGCUCGUGUCGUGAGAUGUUGGGUUAAGUCCCGCAACGAGCGCAACCCUUAUUGCCAGUUGCCACCGGGUCAAGCCGAGCACUCUGGCGAAACCGCACAGGAUAACUGUGAGGAAGGUGGGGAUGACGUCAAGUCCUCAUGGCCUUUAUGUCCAGGGCUACACACGUGCUACAAUGGUCGGUACAAACCGUCGCAAACCCGCGAGGGGAAGCUAAUCGGAAAAAGCCGGCCUCAGUUCGGAUUGGAGUCUGCAACCCGACUCCAUGAAGCUGGAAUCGCUAGUAAUCGCGGAUCAGAACGCCGCGGUGAAUACGUUCCCGGGCCUUGCACACACCGCCCGU
This 500-nucleotide ribosomal RNA is filed under the name uncultured bacterium. RNAcentral's name for it is "partial 16S ribosomal RNA". It matches the Rfam family "Bacterial small subunit ribosomal RNA", at positions 899 to 1397 of the family's 1533-position model. The record is from RNAcentral.